Molecule: ribosomal RNA, 250 nt
Filed under: Gluconobacter japonicus
Lineage: Bacteria; Pseudomonadati; Pseudomonadota; Alphaproteobacteria; Acetobacterales; Acetobacteraceae
Description: partial 16S ribosomal RNA
Rfam family: Bacterial small subunit ribosomal RNA
Source: RNAcentral
CGGCGGGURAGUAACGCGUAGKGAUCUAUCCYUGUGUGGGGGAAMCUCCGGGAAACUGGUGCUAAUACCGCAUGAUACCUGAGGGUCAAAGGCGCAAGUGYUWWSYGAGCAACCUGCGUUCGAUUAGCUAGUUGGUGGGGUAAAGGCUACCAAGGGAUGAUCGAUAGCUGGUUUGAGAGGAURAUCAGCCACACUGGGACUGAGACACGGCCCAGACUCCUACGGGRGGCAGCAGUGGGGAAUAUUGGAC